Molecule: ribosomal RNA, 884 nt
Filed under: uncultured bacterium
Lineage: Bacteria
Description: bacterial SSU rRNA
Rfam family: Bacterial small subunit ribosomal RNA
Source: RNAcentral
GGACGGGUGAGUAACACGUGGGCAACCUGCCCUGAAGUGGGGGAUAACAUCUGGAAACAGGUGCUAAUACCGCAUAACAACGAAAACCACAUGGUUUUCGUUUCAAAGAUGGUUUCGGCUAUCGCUUCAGGAUGGGCCCGCGGUGCAUUAGCUAGUUGGUAAGGUAACGGCUUACCAAGGCGAUGAUGCAUAGCCGAGUUGAGAGACUGAUCGGCCACAAUGGAACUGAGACACGGUCCAUACUCCUACGGGAGGCAGCAGUAGGGAAUCUUCCACAAUGGGCGCAAGCCUGAUGGAGCAACACCGCGUGAGUGAAGAAGGGUUUCGGUUCGUAAAGCUCUGUUGUUGGAGAAGAACGUGUGUGAGAGUAACUGUUCACGCAGUGACUGGGUGGUUUUAAAGUCCAACCCAGAAAGUCACGGCUAACUACGUGCCAGCAGCCGCGGUAAUACGUAGGUGGCAAGCGUUAUUCGGAUUUAUUGGGCGUAAAGCGAGCGCAGGCGGUUGCUUAGGUCUGAUGUGAAAGCCUUCGGCUUAACCGAAGAAGUGCAUCGGAAACCGGGCGACUUGAGUGCAGAAGAGGACAGUGGAACUCCAUGUGUACCGGUGGAAUGCGUAGAUAUAUGGAAGAACACCAGUGGCGAAGGCGGCUGUCUGGUCUGCAACUGACGCUGAGGCUCGAAAGCAUGGGUAGCGAACAGGAUUAGAUACCCUGGUAGUCCAUGCCGUAAACGAUGAGUGCUAGGUGUUGGAGGGUUUCCGCCCUUCAGUGCCGGAGCUAACGCAUUAAGCACUCCGCCUGGGGAGUACGACCGCAAGGUUGAAACUCAAAGGAAUUGACGGGGGCCCGCACAAGCGGUGGAGCAUGUGGUUUAAUUCGAAGC